Molecule: ribosomal RNA, 90 nt
Filed under: uncultured archaeon
Lineage: Archaea
Description: partial 16S ribosomal RNA
Source: RNAcentral
CUCCCUCGUUGCCUGAUCUCAGGUUCGAUAAUGCCAAUAUCGCACCACCUCGCCUAAAACCAACUUCGAUGAAGCGACGGGCGGUGUGUG